RNAcentral lists this ribosomal RNA (376 nucleotides) under uncultured bacterium. Its description in RNAcentral is "bacterial SSU rRNA". It matches the Rfam family "Bacterial small subunit ribosomal RNA", at positions 28 to 408 of the family's 1533-position model. The record is from RNAcentral.
GACGAACGCUGGCGGCGUGCUUAACACAUGCAAGUCGAACGGUAAGGCCCUUCGGGUACGACGAGUGGCGAACGGGUGAGUAACACGUGGGUGAUCUGCCCUGCACUUCGGGAUAAGCCUGGGAAACUGGGUCUAAUACCGGAUAGGACCUUGGACUUCACGGUUUGUGGUGGAAAGCUUUUGCGGUGUGGGAUGGGCCCGCGGCCUAUCAGCUUGUUGGUGGGGUAAUGGCCUACCAAGGCGACGACGGGUAGCCGGCCUGAGAGGGUGUCCGGCCACACUGGGACUGAGAUACGGCCCAGACUCCUACGGGAGGCAGCAGUGGGGAAUAUUGCACAAUGGGCGCAAGCCUGAUGCAGCGACGCCGCGUGAGGGA